AUCCCAGACAAUGUUGCUUUUGUGAUGAUCUGAUUCGUGGGAGGCACAUACCAAAUGGGAGUUCACUGAUAACGAUUUUGGUCUUUGAAAAGUGUUUUACUAAUACCUAACCACACAUUC
Molecule: non-coding RNA, 120 nt
Organism: Populus trichocarpa (black cottonwood)
Lineage: Eukaryota; Viridiplantae; Streptophyta; Magnoliopsida; Malpighiales; Salicaceae
Source: Rfam